AGACCCGAAACCGGGCGACCUACCCAUGAGCAGGAUGAAGCGAAAGUAAAAUUUCGUGGAGGUCCGAACCCACGAGCGUUGAAAAGCUCGGGGAUGGCUUGUGGGUAGCGGUGAAAUUCCAAUCGAGCCCGGAGAUAGCUGGUUCUCCCCGAAAUAGCUUUAGGGCUAGCCUCAAGGUGAGAGAUACGGAGGUAGAGCACUGAAUG
Molecule: ribosomal RNA, 206 nt
Filed under: Clostridioides difficile
Lineage: Bacteria; Bacillati; Bacillota; Clostridia; Peptostreptococcales; Peptostreptococcaceae
Description: partial 23S ribosomal RNA
Rfam family: Bacterial large subunit ribosomal RNA
Source: RNAcentral